CAACCAUCAAGCCCCGGGCUUGUGUUGGGGAUCUGCGGCUGCCCGCAGGCCCUGAAAACCAGUGGCGGGCUCGCUGUCACUCCGAGCGUAGUAGCACUCGUAUCUCGCUCAGGGCGUGCCGCGGGCUCCGGCCGUUAAACCGCCUCUUUAGCACCCAAA
RNAcentral lists this unclassified non-coding RNA (159 nucleotides) under Melanocarpus albomyces. RNAcentral's name for it is "partial internal transcribed spacer 2". RNAcentral also lists the same sequence under 1 other name. The record is from RNAcentral. Lineage: Eukaryota; Fungi; Ascomycota; Sordariomycetes; Sordariales; Chaetomiaceae.